AGUGAACGCUGGCGGUAGGCCUAACACAUGCAAGUCGAACGGCAGCACAGUAAGAGCUUGCUCUUACGGGUGGCGAGUGGCGGACGGGUGAGGAAUACAUCGGAAUCUACUUUUUCGUGGGGGAUAACGUAGGGAAACUUACGCUAAUACCGCAUACGACCUACGGGUGAAAGCAGGGGAUCUUCGGACCUUGCGCGAUUGAAUGAGCCGAUGUCGGAUUAGCUAGUUGGCGGGGUAAAGGCCCACCAAGGCGACGAUCCGUAGCUGGUCUGAGAAGAUGAUCAGCCACACUGGAACUGAGACACGGUCCAGACUCCUACGAGCAGCAGCAGUGGGGAAUAUUGGACAAUGGUCGCAAGCCUGAUCCAGCCAUACCGCGUGGGUGAAGAAGGCCUUCGGGUUGUAAAGCCCUUUUGUUGGGAAAGAAAAGCAGCAGGUUAAUACCCCGCUGUUCUGACGGUACCCAAAGAAUAAGCACCGGCUAACUUCGUG
RNAcentral lists this ribosomal RNA (492 nucleotides) under uncultured bacterium. RNAcentral describes it as "partial 16S ribosomal RNA". It matches the Rfam family "Bacterial small subunit ribosomal RNA", at positions 29 to 507 of the family's 1533-position model. The record is from RNAcentral.